AUCAGCCUUUCGGGUGCGAUUCUGUGGGGUUGAGGAGCUUAACACCUUCCUGCUUUGCAUAUUCGUGCUCUUGGGUGUACUUGCCCGUGUGGUUGGUUAACAUCAAUUUUGGUGGUCUUAAAAUGACUGGAGGAAUGUAGCUUCGAUCUUGUAUUGAAGUGUUAUAGCCUUCGGUAGAUGUGAUGAUCGAGAUUGAGGAUUGCAACGGAUACCCUUCGGGGCUACCUGUCUGGUCUCUGAUCGUUGCUCUGGCGCCGAAAGCUUGCUUACGGUUAUCAAAGUCGAUGGUCAAUAGGUUAGAACGGGUUAAAUUCGUUAAGGAUGUUGACGUAAUGGCUCU
Molecule: ribosomal RNA, 340 nt
Filed under: uncultured Glomeromycotina
Lineage: Eukaryota; Fungi; Glomeromycota
Description: eukaryotic LSU rRNA
Source: RNAcentral